AACUGAAACCCGCGUGAACAGGCUCAGAAAUGGUGAUUGUAGUAUUUAAAAUGUUGUUUUGAAAUGUAAUUUAACUGCAGACCGGUCAGAUCCGCAGGCUGAUACCCUAAUCCCAAGUGAAGAUUCCCGUUGGUUUAAGGAGCUUCUGUUGGACUGUUCUCUGGACACAGAAGAAACAGCAGAAAGUGGGUAGCUUUUUCUUUCAAGAGUUGAAAGCAGCACUCGUUUGAGGUUUUAAGAAGAUUUGGAGAACGGGGAUUGAUCUACUAACAUCAGAGAAGAAAUCUGGUGGCAAAUAUCAAAACCUCAUAGAAUAUUUUACCACUCAAAGAUAUUAAAUUCAGCUGCUGAAUGGAUGGACUUCUACGGGUCAGAACUGAAGCUUGGGAUAGAGGCAACCCCCUCGCUGCCCCCCG
This 416-nucleotide long non-coding RNA is filed under the name Gallus gallus (chicken). The record is from RNAcentral. Lineage: Eukaryota; Metazoa; Chordata; Aves; Galliformes; Phasianidae.